CUCCCGCCAUCCAGAAGCCGCCACCUGAGCGAGAAACUCUACACGAGUCUCUCUCUCUCCGUUGGAUGCUUGUAUAUAUUUGCGGGUUUUCUUGCUCCUUCGGUUCGAGUGGAGAAAGGUUCGGAUGGAGAACGGUUGCGCGCUUUCAACCCCACCCCCAAAACGAUCGUCUCUGAAAACCCAAUCGCAUUUCAAUACUUACCCUCUUUGGAAAGACAAGUUGAGGGAGAACUGUUACAAAAGGGUGCGCGAGGACAGGAAUCGCUUGCUUUGGAAAAUGAGGUUGCCCACUGCUAAAUCUCUCGGUGACAAGGAUUUUAUCAAAUCUGCUUUCCAAAACAUAGUUUCCGAUGAACUGAAAAAACUUAAACACUCAUCAUCAGAUGACAUUUUGGAAAUCUCAACUUCUAGACUUGAUGCAAGUGAUAUUUUGUGGGAAUAUGAUGGUCUUCACAAUGCUUAUCAAGGUGAAUGUGAGGAGAUAUUGUUGGAGAUGCAAAGGAUCUUCUAUGAGGAUCUGAGGGCAGAACCAACAAGAAAAGAACCUGAAAACCAUAUUGAGGCCUGGGAGGAUGAAGAAGAUGAGUACUUGGCUCGUGCUGUUUAUGAGCACAUGCACUUGAAUGAUAAGCAGGUUCAAAAGGAGACUUGGUGUCCCAUCUGUAAGCAAGGACGGUUGCAAGAGAACCAUCAACUUAUAUAUUGCAGUAUUUGUGAACUUGAACUCUGCAAAGACGAUGAGGUACUGCCAUUGCCUCUUGUUUUUAUACAAUUUGUUUCUUAUUUAUUCUUGCAUUUAAAUCAUUCAUCAUGAAGGCGGAAUACAAUGUAUGUGGAGUAUUUGCAAAAUUAAAAUUUUGCUAGUGCAAAGACCCAAUUAGACUAAGUUCUCAAUUGUUGCCACUUGCCAAAGAUAAGUUACUAGCAUACUUAUUGAAUUUUAAAUUAUCUGGUUAUGGAUCAUUUUUUAUUCAUUUGCCUUGUCAGCCUCAAUGAAUUUUUCUUCUUCUUGGUACCAUUCUCAACCCCAUUCCUUUCCCAUGUUUUUCCCAGUUUUUUUGAAAUUAUAGUGGUUUUUUUU
Molecule: unclassified non-coding RNA, 1081 nt
Filed under: Hevea brasiliensis (rubber tree)
Lineage: Eukaryota; Viridiplantae; Streptophyta; Magnoliopsida; Malpighiales; Euphorbiaceae
Source: RNAcentral